Molecule: long non-coding RNA, 744 nt
Filed under: Neodiprion pinetum (white pine sawfly)
Lineage: Eukaryota; Metazoa; Arthropoda; Insecta; Hymenoptera; Diprionidae
Description: uncharacterized LOC124223781
Source: RNAcentral
GAUAUAUUAUUCUUGCGUGUGCAAAGUUAGUUGUACACUAGUACGAGUAGGUACGCUAAUAGUACCGUACGUUCGCCUUUUGUCAAGUACAAAAACUUGUGUCACCUGUUUCAAUACGCAUUGCAAUAACGCGCAUACGGAGACUUUAGCACUUGGCUGUGAAUUGGUGGUUGAAAGUAUAGCGCCAGAGGGCCAUUCGGUUAAAAAUGUGUUUCAGGAUGCAUAUUCUGGGUAUAGAUAUUGUACACUCUCUUACAGGCCCGAAAUUAUGGAUUACUGUUAUGUAUAUUACGCGUGAAAAGGUGCAGAAAAAUAAAUAAAAAAUAUUUAGUUGAGUUACUGAUGCUAAGUGGGAAUUUUUUCGUGCUUAUACACAGCGUGACACAUAAGUUUUUUCUUGCAUAUAAUUCGGCGUUAUAUUUUUUUUUAAUACUUAUGGUGUACAGGAAUUGCUUGAUCCGUCAAUCUUCUCUCAACGAAAUAUUGUGGAAUAUUGCAAUAGUUAUUUGUUCUGAGAAAUUAGACGCAAGAAAGUUUAAAAUCCGUGAACGUGCAAGCUUCGACUUAAUUCAUCAUGAAAAACGAACGAACAACUCGCACAGUUUGGACUGCAGACUUUUAUCCGAGGCCAGGAAAAAGUUUCUGUACACCUUGAAGACUAGCCUGGAGGCUGUGAUGAGUAAUGUGCUCGGAUUAUGUACACAAUCGCCUCAAGGUUUCUAACAAUAAAAGUUUAUAUCAAUA